Molecule: long non-coding RNA, 667 nt
Filed under: Callithrix jacchus (white-tufted-ear marmoset)
Lineage: Eukaryota; Metazoa; Chordata; Mammalia; Primates; Cebidae
Description: lncRNA (ENSCJAG00000086261.1)
Source: RNAcentral
GAUCUUCAUUAGUUAAAGUUGCAGGGUUUUUUUGGUCACCUUAUCUGUCGACCUGUUACAACAAUUAAUUCAGGGUUCAUUGUGUCCAGAGCAGUUUAUUAGAAAGGGGUACAGACUCCAGAAGCAUAACUCCUGGUUUGUGGUCAGGGGACUGUUAGGGAUAUAUCUUAUGAAAGUUACAGUUUAUUGAGCUGGAAACUUUCAAGCAGUUUUUUGUCCAACUUAGUUUCAACUUUAACAAACACAAGAGUACUUGUAGAGAGAAAUUCUCCUCCAACGCACACUCUUCUGGUGAUUACCAGCAGGUCCACUGCAGCAGUUGGAUUGAGUGUCUGAGUCAGCCUGGCUGAUUACCUUAAUCACCUUAAUCAUAGAAUCUACCCUCCCUGGAAUGGCCUCAACACGGAGAGUGGCAGAAUGGCAGAACAGACACUCAAAACUGAAAACUCCUUGUUAGAACUGUUCUGAGGCAUUUAAGGAAGAGCUUGUGACUUGCAGGAGGAACAAGAUAAUUUCAAGGCUUUGUCAAUUCUUUGCUAAUUCUUUUAUUAACAAAGAGUUUUCCAAGAACAUCUUCGUUAGAAUACAGGGCACAUCCUUGAGAGGGGCUGCUGACGUCUCAGAACAUCAGAAGAAGCAAUAUAAUAAUAUGAAGAAUUUGAACGAC